Molecule: ribosomal RNA, 551 nt
Filed under: uncultured bacterium
Lineage: Bacteria
Description: bacterial SSU rRNA
Rfam family: Bacterial small subunit ribosomal RNA
Source: RNAcentral
UAGGGAAUCUUCCGCAAUGGGCGAAAGCCUGACGGAGCAACGCCGCGUGAGUGAUGAAGGUCUUCGGAUCGUAAAACUCUGUUAUUAGGGAAGAACAUAUGUGUAAGUAACUGUGCACAUCUUGACGGUACCUAAUCAGAAAGCCACGGCUAACUACGUGCCAGCAGCCGCGGUAAUACGUAGGUGGCAAGCGUUAUCCGGAAUUAUUGGGCGUAAAGCGCGCGUAGGCGGUUUUUUAAGUCUGAUGUGAAAGCCCACGGCUCAACCGUGGGAGGGUCAUUGGAAACUGGAAAACUUGAGUGCAGAAGAGGAAAGUGGAAUUCCAUGUGUAGCGGUGAAAUGCGCAGAGAUAUGGAGGAACACCAGUGGCGAAGGCGACUUUCUGGUCUGUAACUGACGCUGAUGUGCGAAAGCGUGGGGAUCAAACAGGAUUAGAUACCCUGGUAGUCCACGCCGUAAACGAUGAGUGCUAGGUGUUAGACCCUUUCUGGGGUUUAGUGCCGCAGCUAACGCAUUAAGCACUCCGCCUGGGGAGUACGACCGCAAGGUUG